Molecule: long non-coding RNA, 1424 nt
Filed under: Homo sapiens (human)
Lineage: Eukaryota; Metazoa; Chordata; Mammalia; Primates; Hominidae
Description: HSALNT0202908
Source: RNAcentral
UUUCUAGGAUAAAGCCCUCCAAGGAUCACGACUGAAGAUGUGGAUGACUCCAAUUCUGUGUGUCAUGGACUCAAAUUUUUAUCUCCUCCAUAUGGUGUGCUGCUGAGUAUGCUGCUCACAGGAAUCAUAAAAAUUGUUUUCCAUGGGUCUUAGUACCAGGAACAUCUGUGCUUCUCCCGAAUAACUAAAACAUCAUGUGAAGACUGAGAUGCACAGAGAGAAUAUCAUGGGACAAUGGAGGCAGGGACUGGACUCAUGCAGCUGCAAGUCAAGGACUGCCAGAGACUGAUGGUGAUACUGUAACUAAGAGAAAGAACUCAGGAAACAGAAUCUCGCUCUUACCUUCCUUGUACUUGCCCAAAGGCAGGGCUCUAAACUUCCCAUGCCUUUCUGACUGUGGGUCUUAAGACCCUCUCCAGAGAGGAGUCCACCCUACAAUCUGGGAGAAGGAAUGCUGACAUCAUGAAGAUUCCAUAAGAGCCCGAGGCCUGGGUUUGAGGAGCUUCUACAAAGUGGAACACAUGGUGGUUUCUGGAGGAUGCUGUACUCAGGGAGGGCAUGGAAGGUCCACACCCCUUCCCCCAUACCUUGCCCUGUGUGUCACUUCAUCUGUAUCCUUUGUCAUAUCCUUUACAAUAAACUGGUAAGUGUAAGUGAUUCCUUGAGUUCUGUGCACUGCUCCAGCAAAUUAAUCCGACCCAAACAGGGGCUCAUGGGAACCCCAACUUGAAACCAGUGGGUCAGAAGUUCCAGAGGCUUGGACCUGUGACAAGCAUCUAAAGGGAGUGGGGCAAUCUUGGGGACUCAGCACCCAACAUGUGGGAUCUGACACUAUCUCUAGGUAGAUAGUGUGACAAUUGAAUUGGAGGACACUCCGCUGGUGUCUGCAGCUUGGUGUGUGGGGAAAAUACCAACACGUUUGGUCACAGCAGUCUGCUUCUGUAUUGGUGAUUGACUUGGCAGUGGGAGAACAGAGGAAAAACACAGUUGAUAGGAGCUUUUCUCUGAAACAACAUAAUGUCUUGUAAACUAUAAAGUAGAAUUUGUAAACAGUUAAGGUAAUCAGGUAAAAAAGAAAAAAAUGUCAUUUAAAGUGUUUAUAUAAAAAAGCUGUGUAGUCCAAAUAGAUUAUAUUAUCUCACAUAUAUAAAUCACAGAAAACAUCUAUACAGAUAUUAAGAAGUCUAAGUAUAUAAGGCUGAAAAAUAUGAUACUUUUGAUAGCAGAAUGAUGAAGGAGAUGGGGUAGAGUUAAUCAAUUACUAUUCCUUUUACAUAUAAAAUAUUGGAAAAAUUAAAAUACACAUAUAUUAAAUAGUUUACAUUAGAAUUUAUUUUAAAACAAAAUGUAUGGAUUAGUCUAUAUAGGAUUAUAUUAUGUUAAACAGGAUACUGUUUGCAUUCCUAACAGAAAUUCUUUGGGAA